RNAcentral lists this long non-coding RNA (225 nucleotides) under Homo sapiens (human). RNAcentral describes it as "non-protein coding lnc-PEX12-1:1". Lineage: Eukaryota; Metazoa; Chordata; Mammalia; Primates; Hominidae. The record is from RNAcentral.
CUCCGCUUCCGGAGGUCGCUACUGCUGCCUCAGUGGCCCCGGAGCGGGGGCGCCCAGGGGUCCUUCGCCCCCGGCCACGGCCCCCACAACGGGGCUUCGCCGCCACCUGUGUCCGAGCUGGACCGUGCAGGCGCCAGGCUCCUCUCCGAAAGGCGCACGAGACAGCUUUCUUCUCCUGGUUCCACAAUGGCCUCCUGGCAUAGGGCAUCGGGGUUAUCUCCUUCA